ACGCUCGACACCUACGGGAGGAGCAGUUGGGAAUAUUGGACAAUGGAGGAAACUCUGAUCCAGUGACGCCGCGUGAAGGAAGAAGGUCUUCGGAUUGUAAACUUAUUUUGUCAGGGAAGAAAAAUGACUGUACCUGAAGAAAAAGCACCGGCUAACUACGUGCCACAGCCGCGGUAAUCUGAGCGGGCUGGCAAGGC
RNAcentral lists this ribosomal RNA (197 nucleotides) under uncultured bacterium. Its description in RNAcentral is "partial 16S ribosomal RNA". It matches the Rfam family "Bacterial small subunit ribosomal RNA", at positions 328 to 539 of the family's 1533-position model. The record is from RNAcentral.